Molecule: long non-coding RNA, 220 nt
Filed under: Brassica napus (rape)
Lineage: Eukaryota; Viridiplantae; Streptophyta; Magnoliopsida; Brassicales; Brassicaceae
Description: long non-coding RNA (BNAP_LNC000492)
Source: RNAcentral
AAGAUUGACUAUAUUACAAUUCUUGUCCACGUUACGAAUUUCUGAUAAAUAAAUGCAUCCUUAAACACAAAAACACAACAAAAUGAAAAUAUGUUCAUCUCUACAAUUUUGUUAAGAUUGACAUAUAUUACAAUUCUUAAUGUUUAUAUAUCCAAAAACAUGUCCACACAAUCUACUAUUAUUUGUUUUCUCAAUUCAUUACGAAAUACAUGUAUCCAUA